UUGGGUUCUACGAAUAAAAAAACAAAAUUAUUAGAUAUUCUCCGACAAUUAUGGUGCGAGAAAUCAACGGGAAAUUAUUAUUCGCGUACGCUUUUGAUAAGUCUACAUCAAUACCAAGUUCCGAGUCGAAAACUGCAUACGAGAACAGCAUUUUUAUUCGCUUACUGCGUACAGCCACGAAAAUCGAAACUACUGGAUAAAUUUUCAUCAAGUCUUUUCAAUAAUAGUUAUUCGAUGUCUCGAAAUUAGGAUGUUAAUUGGGAAUACCUUUAUCCAAUCGAACGCGUGUAUAGAAAUAUUUUAAUUAUUGUGCAAAAACUAUUUUCUUUUGUUUAUUAAUAACAGAUUUGACAUGAAGCAUUCGAUGGUAUAGACUGGUUUUAAUGUUAAUCAUUCGAUAAGAUUGUUAUUUUUAGUAAUUUAGUUCUAGUAAAUACUGAAAAAAGCCUUGGCUUUAGA
Venturia canescens is the source of this 459-nucleotide long non-coding RNA. RefSeq lists it as uncharacterized. Lineage: Eukaryota; Metazoa; Arthropoda; Insecta; Hymenoptera; Ichneumonidae. The record is from RefSeq and is a predicted model, not a curated record. The transcript is spliced from 2 exons.